Molecule: ribosomal RNA, 497 nt
Filed under: uncultured bacterium
Lineage: Bacteria
Description: partial 16S ribosomal RNA
Rfam family: Bacterial small subunit ribosomal RNA
Source: RNAcentral
GAUGAACGCUGGCGGCGUGCCUAAUACAUGCAAGUCGAGCGAACAGACGAGGAGCUUGCUCCACUGACGUUAGCGGCGGACGGGUGAGUAACACGUGGAUAACCUACCUAUAAGACUGGGAUAACUUCGGGAAACCGGAGCUAAUACCGGACAAUAUAUUGAACCGCAUGGUUCAAUAGUGAAAGACGGUUUUGCUGUCACUUAUAGAUGGAUCCGCGCCGCAUUAGCUAGUUGGUAAGGUAACGGCUUACCAAGGCAACGAUGCGUAGCCGACCUGAGAGGGUGAUCGGCCACGCUGGAGCUGAGACACGGUCCAGACUCCUACGGGAGGCAGCAGUAGGGAAUCUUCCGCAAGGGGCGAAAGCCUGACGGAGCAACGCCGCGUGAGUGAUGAAGGUCUUCGGAUCGUAAACCUCUGUUAUUAGGGAAGAACAAAUGUGUAAGUAACUAUGCACGUCUUGACGGUACCUAAUCAGAAAGCCACGGCUAACUACGUG